CAGCCGCCGCGGUAAUACCAGCACCCCGAGUGGUCGGGACGUUUAUUGGGCCUAAAGCAUCCGUAGCCGGUUCUACAAGUCUUCCGUUAAAUCCACCUGCUUAACAGAUGGGCUGCGGAAGAUACUAUAGAGCUAGGAGGCGGGAGAGGCAAGCGGUACUCGAUGGGUAGGGGUAAAAUCCGUUGAUCCAUUGAAGACCACCAGUGGCGAAGGCGGCUUGCCAGAACGCGCUCGACGGUGAGGGAUGAAAGCUGGGGGAGCAAACCGG
This 268-nucleotide ribosomal RNA is filed under the name uncultured prokaryote. RNAcentral describes it as "partial 16S ribosomal RNA". It matches the Rfam family "Archaeal small subunit ribosomal RNA", at positions 459 to 727 of the family's 1478-position model. The record is from RNAcentral.